GCAAGUCGAGGGGUAACAUUGUGCUUGCACAGAUGACGACCGGCGCACGGGUGCGUAACGCGUAUAGAAGCUACCUUUUACAGAGGGAUAGCCUUAGAAAUGAAGACUAAUACCACAACGUAUUGUAGACUGGCAUCAGUUUAUAAUUAAAGAUUUAUCGGUAAAAGAUGGCUAAGCGUCCUAUUAGUUAGUUGGUAAGGUAACGGCUUACCAAGACAGCGAUAGGUAGGGGUCCUGAGAGGGAGAUC
Molecule: ribosomal RNA, 248 nt
Filed under: uncultured bacterium
Lineage: Bacteria
Description: partial 16S ribosomal RNA
Rfam family: Bacterial small subunit ribosomal RNA
Source: RNAcentral